GACUUCCUCCUAUCUAUGACUUUAUGAGUUUUUUUCUUUAAAAAUUGUUGUUCAAAAAUUACCAAUGUGUGAAAUAGUGAUGUAGUGAUGAAAUAAUUGUUUGUUAAUAUCCUAAUAGCAUAGUUCAAUAAAUUACAUAGAGCACUGUCACGUAAAAGGGGGGAAAGAACCAUUUACCGAAGUAGGUGAACAAGUUAAAUCAAAUACUUGGACCGCACUGUAUAAAGGCCAAAAGUGUACCAGCAAACAAUGCAUUUCAAUCCAGGAGGUGGCACUUAAUUACCUCUCUUAUCUUUUAUAUAUUUACACAAAUACUUCGUACAAAUAAAGAUACUUGAAGCGUGAAAUUUUAUCAUCUUGAUAGACUUCUCUUUACGAUUGCUGUUUGUGAUUUUAAACUGUCUUGUCAAACACUUGCUAUGGAUAGCUCUAUAUACGUGAAGAAUGCACUACACACUUAGCAACAAUGACAAAGAUAUCGUAAGUCACAACAGAGAAUAAGAGCUCGAAAGAGGGUAACGUUUAUACGAGGCAGAAAGUCCAGUGACCGAAUGCAACUCUACACUGUUAAAAGGUUGAUGCGCAACUGCACACUGCACAGUAAAGAGAAAAGCCCGGAGGGCAGCUUCGCUGCAGGGCAUACCGGGGUAAGGGUGAUGGAACGAAACGGGGCUGAGCUCAGGGGCCUGGCACCUCAAUGCAUCGAUCGCCGUUUGGUCCUUUUCUCUCCGUUUCAACGCCCUAAACCACGCUACGUAUCGCACUGACGUAGCUAACGAUCACAAUACCCGGCUGCACUAGGUCUCUCGUAGUCAUUAACCACGCUUUUCUUUAAAUCCCCAAAAUGAAAAUGAAAUUUCAGUAAAUAUUAAAAUAUGAAUAGCGUUUAAAUAUUUGGUUUCACUAUCCGAUAUAUAUAUACAUAAAUUAUAUUACUUUUCGUGUACACUACGCUUCUUAUUUGAAAAAAUAUCCUCAGGGAUACAAACAUGUAAAAUAAUUGAGACAGCAGCUCCUCUCGGCUUUCUUAUACAACAAUUUACCGCUAAUAAUACUAGUUAAUUGAUGAAUAAUAAGAUAUAGACUUUUUAUGAUUUUACAAUUUUUAAAUAAAAUAAUUUGUAAUUUAUAAAAUUUCAUUAAUUUUGUUACCAAAUUUAAUGAUAUUAUUAAUAUUGGUAUCUUGUGACUCAUAAAAUUGAACAAGAGAGCUCUAACCAUGGUUCGGAAUCAAAUCUGGUCAGCUACCAAGGGAGAGUCUUGUCCAUUACUAAAGAUUUAGAGAUAUAAUGUGUUACCUAAUACUCUCUGAGAUAAUAAGGCUUUAAAGUCAAUACAAUGGAAUGAAAAUG
Molecule: long non-coding RNA, 1352 nt
Organism: Bombus impatiens (common eastern bumble bee)
Lineage: Eukaryota; Metazoa; Arthropoda; Insecta; Hymenoptera; Apidae
Exons: 3
Source: RefSeq, a predicted model, not a curated record